Non-coding RNA from Desmophyllum pertusum, 65 nucleotides. NCBI's taxonomy places the organism in Eukaryota, Metazoa, Cnidaria, Anthozoa, Scleractinia, Caryophylliidae. The record is from the annotation of a GenBank genome assembly.
GGUAGCUCAGUGGUAGAGCGUUUGUAUCGGAAUCGCAAAAGGUCAUGGGUUCGAAUCUCAUUCCU